GAGCAGCUGAAGAGGAGGAAGAGGAGGAAGAGGAGGAGCUGAUCUGUUCCUGAUCUCUAAAGAGACUCAAACUUCCUCCUUCAGUUCAGUUCAACUCUCCAACAUUAACUCUGCUCAACAUGGACUAUUAUGGUCUGUCUCUGCUCAUCAUCUCUCUGCUAACAGGAGUCAGAUGCCAACAACUCACUGCGCUUCAGAAAGAAGAGUUCGCUGUAGAAAGCAGCAAAGUUACUCUGUCCUACACUUACUCCAAAACAGCCACUGGAAGUGAUUAUUUCUUCUGGUAUCGACAAUAUCCUGGAAAACCUCCAGAGUUCCUGAUCUCCCAUUUAGGAACAGGAGCUAAACUCCAGGAUCCGGUUCCUGGUUUCUCCUUCAACAUGAAUGCUGAUAAAACCCAGAUGGAUCUGCUGAUCUCCUCUGCUGCAGUGACAGACUCUGCUGUGUACUACUGCGCUGUGAGGCCCACAGUGACAGGAAACACCAGAACCCUGUACAAAAACCUGCAGUACUGUACAGCAGCCACUAGAGGGCCUCACUCCCUG
Non-coding RNA from Xiphophorus hellerii (green swordtail), 545 nucleotides. NCBI's taxonomy places the organism in Eukaryota, Metazoa, Chordata, Actinopteri, Cyprinodontiformes, Poeciliidae. The record is from the annotation of a RefSeq genome assembly.